RNAcentral lists this long non-coding RNA (2149 nucleotides) under Piliocolobus tephrosceles (Ugandan red Colobus). Its description in RNAcentral is "lncRNA (ENSPTEG00000016678.1)". Lineage: Eukaryota; Metazoa; Chordata; Mammalia; Primates; Cercopithecidae. The record is from RNAcentral.
AAGAUAAUUCAGGUGCGUUUGUUUUUAUAACUAUUAUUAUAGUCUUUCAUUAUGUCACUAUGUUGGUAUUAUACGUUAUUGCAUUAUUUGGGCAUUAUAUUUGUGGUUAUACCUUGUGCAUAAGCACAUAUAUAUGUAUGUAAGCAUGUAAGCAUGUAAGCAUAUGUUGUGUACAUGUGCACAAAACAACACAACCCAACACAACCCAUACUGUAUACAUUUUUUUAUUAUUUUUAGGCCUUGUACAACCACACGAUCAAUAGCAUAAAACGUAAUUGGGAACUACCCAUCUGUAAACACUUAAUGGUAACAUACGAACAAAAAACAUUUCAAGAACUUCAAGAGAAGCUUUUUUAUAUGCAGAAAUGUUUAUACAAUGAAGAGGGAACUGUUGAGACGAAUAUUUAUGUAAAGAAAAAAAAUGAAGAUGUGGAAAAUAAAAAUAUUAUGAAAAAUGAUUUAUUAAAUGAUAAAACUGGAUCUGAUUACAUAAAUUUAGAAAAAGAAGAAAAAAAAAAUAUACUUAAAAGUGUUGACACAGAAUUAAUAGAAGAAGUAAAAAAAAUAUAUAAUCAACGAAAUUAUGUUAAUGAUAGUAUUACAUAUAUUACUGGAGCAAGGCCAUAUAAUAUAACUAAAAAAAAUGUUAUAAAAUAUGACGUGUUUUUAAAAAAAAAUAAUUUCAUUUUACUGACUGGGGAAAAUAUGAGUGGAAAAACGACGUUAUCUUUUACUAUAUUGUGUAUACUCUUUUUGGCCAAUUUGGGUAUGUACGCACCUUGCAACAAAACAAGUAUUAUAUCAAAAUUUAGGGAAUUUUAUAGUUUGAAAAAUGUAAAUUAUAAAGAACAAAUUGAAAAUAUGUCAUUAUUUAGAGAACAAACUUAUUAUAUAAACUCGAUCAUAGAAGAAAUAAAAGGACAUUAUUUGAUUGAUAAGAAGCUUUACAGUGGCAAUGAAGUUUUUAUUCUUUUCGACGAGCCUUGUAUAGCUACAACACCCUUGGACAAUGCAAUCAUUAUUAGUGCCAUUGCGGAUUACUUAAAAAAAUAUUGUGGUAUAAUAAUCACACACAAUUAUGAUUUACUGAAAAAGAUUUAUCAUAGUAAAAAUAUUGUUUUUAAAAGAAUUAAUGAAAAUAUAAAUUAUAUUAAAGAACAAAAAGAAGAAGGUAGUGCGAUACUUGAGAAUGGAAUAUGUAAAAACAGCGAGGCAUUAGAAACAUGUCGUUAUACCAACAUGGAUAAUGACGUUUUUAGUUUAUUAAAAGUGUAUGAAAAAAAAUAUAGAUUUAUUCAUAAUUUAAAUAAUAUAUUAUAUUAUAAAUUUUUAAAUUACAUAAAAAAUAAAAAAAAUGAUAAAAAAAUAAAGUUAAGUUAUUUUUUUGAUAAUUUUAUGAAUCAAAAUGAUUUAAGUAAAAAUGGAAAAAAUGAGAGAGUAAAUAUUUUGGCAGAAUAUGAACAAGAUAUGUUACAAAAUUUGGAAAAUAUGGAUACACAAAAUAUUUUAUUAAAUUAUAAUUUUGAUUUGGGUAAGUUAAUUACUAGUGAAUGUAAUAAAGACACAACUGUAAUCAACAACAAGAAUGAAAAUGGCAGUAGUUACAUCGAAAGUAAUAAAAAUGACGAUUUUACUGAAAUUGAAAAAAACGAAGUAAAUAUAAAUAGUAGCCAUUUAGAUAUAGAAAAAAAUAAUAAGAUAUACGAAAAAGAAUUAAAUAAUAUAAUUAAUAAAAUUGAAAAAGCUUUUUGUAAAAAAAUAUCAAAAAUAGAAAUGAAUGAAGAUACUCCAAUUUUUUUUAAAAAUAAAAGUAUAGUUUAUAUUCUUACAAUUUUCACGAAAAAAGAAAAUAAACCAUAUUUUUAUAUAGGUAUAAGUGAUAACAUUUCUGAAAGACUAAAACGUCAUACAAGAAAUUUAUUAAACAAUAAAAGUCUUUUAAAAAAUCCUAAAAAAAACACUUUAUUAAAUUAUAAAAUUGAUUUAAAUGUAUUUUAUACAUUAUUAUUUCAUGUAGAUAAUAAAAUAAUAGCUGCAAAAUAUGAAAAGGAGUUGACAAACUUAUUAAAAAUGAAUAGAUAUAACAUUAUAUCAAAGUGAAAAACGUUAAAAAAAUAAAAGCAGUCGAAUUGAAAAUAAAUGGUAAAAA